AAUGGCCACCUCUCCCUCCCCUGUUCUGGUCUGUGUACUCUGUUUUUGGGCUCACUGGCCAGAGCUCGCGGCCGUCCGGCUCGCGCGAGUUCCGGCCCGUGAUACCACAUGCUUGAUCCUGAUUGUCUAUGCAAUUGUAUGUGUGAAUUUCGGAUGCGUUUGAGUCUCAACCGAGUCGGAAAUCUCUUGUUUUCGCCGUGCACCCCAACUGUUCGAGGUUAUGCCCGAGUGAGAUCCAUGUGUUUUUUCUUCCU
Long non-coding RNA from Syzygium oleosum, 254 nucleotides. RefSeq lists it as uncharacterized. The record is from RefSeq and is a predicted model, not a curated record. The transcript has 2 exons. Lineage: Eukaryota; Viridiplantae; Streptophyta; Magnoliopsida; Myrtales; Myrtaceae.